CCUAUGGGUGGCUGCAGUGAGGAAUAUUGGUCAAUGGGCGGAAGCCUGAACCAGCCAAGUAGCGUGCAGGAUGACGGCCCUACGGGUUGUAAACUGCUUUUAUACGGGAAUAACGCGCCUUACGUGUAGGGCUUUGCAUGUACCGUAUGAAUAAGGACCGGCUAAUUCCGUGCCAGCAGCCGCGGUAAUACGGAAGGUCCGGGCGUUAUCCGGAUUUAUUGGGUUUAAAGGGAGCGUAGGCCGCAUGUCAAGCGUGCUGUGAAAUGUCCGGGCUCAACCCGGGCCUUGCAGCGCGAACUGGCGUGCUUGAGUCCGCGGAAAGCAGGCGGAAUUCGUCGUGUAGCGGUGAAAUGCAUAGAUAUCACGCAGAACGCCGAUUGCGAAGGCAGCAUACCGGCGCCCAACUGACGCUGAGGCACGAAAGCGUGGGGAUCGAACAGGAUUAGAUACCCGUGUAGUC
This 460-nucleotide ribosomal RNA is filed under the name uncultured bacterium. RNAcentral's name for it is "partial 16S ribosomal RNA". It matches the Rfam family "Bacterial small subunit ribosomal RNA", at positions 338 to 795 of the family's 1533-position model. The record is from RNAcentral.